GGGGCCGACUGGAAUUGACAGUAGGUGCAAUGCAAGUGUAAGCAUGUCGGGAGUUGUUGGUAUUUCCCGUAAACAAACCUUCAACAUUUUAAUUGGCGAAAGACAAUACGCCCUUGCUGCCUAAUCAGAUUUAGAUAGCAAUGUGUCUCACUGACCCCACCGUUCUGCCGGGUUGGUAUAUGAGGCAUCACAAGCAGAACUGGUGCUGGUAGGUCUGUGAUAUCAGCACAAGAUUAAUCGCAGAUAAGGAUUGCCUUUGGUUGGUUGCUGACCUGGGUAGUUUCGAAAAUCAAUAGCAAAUAAACAUGUAGAAAGCGCUUAGUAUUCCUUAUCUGGACCAGGGUUCGAAUCCCUGCGGCUCCACGA
This 366-nucleotide transfer-messenger RNA is filed under the name Cyclobacteriaceae. RNAcentral's name for it is "Roseivirga sp021404565 Standard tmRNA". It matches the Rfam family "transfer-messenger RNA". Rfam says of the family: Bacterial tmRNA, also known as 10Sa RNA or SsrA, is named for its dual tRNA and mRNA-like properties. The record is from RNAcentral. Lineage: Bacteria; Pseudomonadati; Bacteroidota; Cytophagia; Cytophagales. RNAcentral also lists the same sequence under 1 other name.